This 216-nucleotide long non-coding RNA is filed under the name Mytilus galloprovincialis (Mediterranean mussel). Lineage: Eukaryota; Metazoa; Mollusca; Bivalvia; Mytilida; Mytilidae. The record is from RNAcentral.
GUCAUUUUUAAUUCUUUUUAUAUUUUCAAAUAUUUCUUCUAAGGUGUGUUCGACUUCAACGAACGCAUUUGAAGAUUUUGCAUCUUUAACGACAUCGUCAAUAUCAACAAAUUCUUUGCACUCGUUGUGGGUCUCUACAAUGCAUUUUUUACAACAUGGACAAUCAUGCUUGUUACAGUAUAUUUGGAACUUUUCGUUGUGGACUUUGCAAGUUUG